CAGUCGCCACGGUAAUACGGAGGGUGCAAGCGUUAAUCGGAAUUACUGGGCGUAAAGCGUGCGUAGGUGGUGGUUUAAGUCCGUUGUGAAAGCCCUGGGCUCAACCUGGGAAUUGCAGUGGAUACUGGGUCACUAGAGUGUGGUAGAGGAUAGUGGAAUUUCCGGUGUAGCAGUGAAAUGCGUAGAGAUCGGAAGGAACAUCUGUGGCGAAGGCGACUAUCUGGGCCAACACUGACACUGAGGCACGAAAGCGUGGGGAGCAAACAGGAUUAGAUACCCCUGUAGUCCCUGUCUCUUAUAC
RNAcentral lists this ribosomal RNA (301 nucleotides) under uncultured bacterium. Its description in RNAcentral is "partial 16S ribosomal RNA". It matches the Rfam family "Bacterial small subunit ribosomal RNA", at positions 509 to 807 of the family's 1533-position model. The record is from RNAcentral.